GGGGGUAUAGCUCAGUGGUUAGAGCACACGCAUACGUAUCGGAAGGUCGGGGGUUCGACUCCCUCUGCCUCCA
Pristionchus pacificus is the source of this 73-nucleotide non-coding RNA. The record is from Rfam. NCBI's taxonomy places the organism in Eukaryota, Metazoa, Nematoda, Chromadorea, Rhabditida, Neodiplogasteridae.